This 253-nucleotide ribosomal RNA is filed under the name uncultured bacterium. RNAcentral's name for it is "partial 16S ribosomal RNA". It matches the Rfam family "Bacterial small subunit ribosomal RNA", at positions 524 to 776 of the family's 1533-position model. The record is from RNAcentral.
UACGUAGGGUACAAGCGUUAAUCGGAAUUACUGGGCGUAAAGCGUGCGCAGGCGGUCUUGCAAGACAGAUGUGAAAUCCCCGGGCUCAACCUGGGAAUGGCAUUUGGGACUGCAAGGCUGGAGUGUGGCAGAGGAGACUGGAAUUCCUGGUGUAGCAGUGAAAUGCGUAGAUAUCAGGAGGAAUACCGAUGGCGAAGGCAGGUCUCUGGGCUGACACUGACGCUCAUGCACGAAAGCGUGGGGAGCAAACAGG